RNAcentral lists this long non-coding RNA (595 nucleotides) under Phasianus colchicus (ring-necked pheasant). RNAcentral describes it as "lncRNA (ENSPCLG00000016893.1)". The record is from RNAcentral. Lineage: Eukaryota; Metazoa; Chordata; Aves; Galliformes; Phasianidae.
GGGGACACUAGGGUCACAUUGGGGACAUUGGGGUCACAUUGGGGUCUCUAUGGGGUCUCUAUGGGUCUCUAUGGGGCACUGGGGUCUCUAUGGGGUCUCUAUGGGGUCUCUAUGGGGCACUGGGGUCUCUAUGGGACAUUGGGGUCCCUAUGGGGUCUCUAUGGGUCUCUAUGGGGCACUGGGAUCUCUAUGGGACAUUGGGGUCCCUAUGGGGUCUCUAUGUGGACACUGGGGUCUCUAUAGGGUCUCUAUGGGAGCAUUGGCCUUUCUAUGGGUUAAUGGGGUCUCUAUGGGGACAUUGGGGUCUCUAUGGGUCUCUAUGGGUCUCUAUGGGGCACUGGGGUCUCUAUGGGGUCUCUAUGGGGUGCUGGGGUCUCUAUGGGGUCUCUAUGGGAUGCUAGGGUCUCUAUAGGACAUUGGGGUCCCUNNAUGGGGUCUCUAUGGGGUGCUGGGGUCUCUAUGGGACAUUGGGGUCUCUAUGGGGUCUCUAUGGGGUGCUGGGGUCUCUAUGGGGUCUCUAUGGGUCUCUAUGGGGCACUGGGGUCCCUAUGGGGUCUCUAUGUGGACACUGGGGUCUCUAUGGGGUGCUGGGGUC